UCAGCGAGGAAGAACGCCUAGUGGUUAAUACCCAUUAGGAAAGACAUCACUCGCAGAAGAAGCACCGGCUAACUCCGUGCCAGCAGCCGCGGUAAUACGGAGGGUGCAAGCGUUAAUCGGAAUUACUGGGCGUAAAGCGCGCGUAGGUGGCUUGAUAAGCCGGUUGUGAAAGCCCCGGGCUCAACCUGGGAACGGCAUCCGGAACUGUCAGGCUAGAGUGCAGGAGAGGAAGGUAGAAUUCCCGGUGUAGCGGUGAAAUGCGUAGAGAUCGGGAGGAAUACCAGUGGCGAAGGCGGCCUUCUGGACUGACACUGACACUGAGGUGCGAAAGCGUGGGUAGCAAACAGGAUUAGAUACCCUGGUAGUCCACGCCGUAAACGAUGUCGACCAGCCGUUGGGUGCCUAGAGCACUUUGUGGCGAAGUUAACGCGAUAAGUCGACCGCCUGGGGAGUACGGCCGCAAGGUUAAAACUCAAAUGAAUUGACGGGGGCCCGCACAAGCGGUGGAGCAUGUGGUUUAAUUCGAUGCAACGCGAAGAACCUUACCUACCCUUGACAUCUACAGAAGCCGGAAGAGAUUCUGGUGUGCCUUCGGGAACUGUAAGACAGGUGCUGCAUGGCUGUCGUCAGCUCGUGUUGUGAAAUGUUGGGUUAAGUCCCGUAACGAGCGCAACCCUUGUCCUUAUUUGCCAGCGAGUAAUGUCGGGAACUCUAAGGAGACUGCCGGUGACAAACCGGAG
Molecule: ribosomal RNA, 740 nt
Filed under: Vreelandella boliviensis
Lineage: Bacteria; Pseudomonadati; Pseudomonadota; Gammaproteobacteria; Oceanospirillales; Halomonadaceae
Description: bacterial SSU rRNA
Rfam family: Bacterial small subunit ribosomal RNA
Source: RNAcentral